CUGACAUCUGUCUUUAAUUUAAACAGAACUUAACCCUGUUAACCACGUUGUUAUUUUCUACUAAAAAACAAAUAAAAAAACUUAAUUAAGGAUUUCAAGAAUUUCGACUCUACCUCUUCCACUCUCCUCUUCCAUGUUUAUUCCAACUCUUCUUCGUUCUUCUUUCUCUGCUUCUCUCUGAAAAAACAAAACCCAGUGUUGUUCUCCUCCUAUCCAACGACAUAGUUGCCGUGGUUUUUAAUCUUUAUUCUUGUUCAUAAACCCGUCCUAGUUUCGAAUUUAUGUUCGUCAUCUCUUUUGGCCUCACGAAGGAGAGAUAUGAUUCCGAUGAGAGGAACUGAAAAGGUAUUACGACGGAGAGGAUUAGCACUACAAAGAUGUGGAGGGUCUAGGUGAAUACAGUGAGCUACUGGGCAUUUUCAUAAUAGCCUUAUAGCCAUCGGGUCUUCUACACAUUGGUUUUAUCAACAAUCCAUCAAAUUCUAUAGUGAUGGCCUAUGAAGCAUGACUUGGAAGCUUUGAGGAGGAUGGGUUCAGUGGCGGUGGGUGCUGGGAUUAUGAUUGGAAAUAAGGUGCGAUGGUGAUUUUGAUGAGAAUACAUACUUGGUUGGAAUUGGUCUUUGGAUUCGACUUGAAAUUGGGAAUGGGUGCUGGGCAGAAGAAGAGUUCUGGGCUGCUUGGGUUUUGCCCUUCUUCAGAAGGCUUUUUAUUUUAAAUUGAAGAUAUAUAAAAACUAAAAUAGAUAAUUUACAACCUGAACACUGUUAACCUCUGUUAAGUUUAUGGACAGGUGUCAACUUCUUAGUCGUGGCACAGGGUUGGCACUGGUUAAAUGGGAACAGAUGAUUCCGUGGAAGAUUGGUCUGUGGAAGGAAAUGCUCAUUCAAAAAGUCAAGUCCAUGUUUAAUUAUUUUCCAUCAGUUUCAUGUAAUUAUUGUCCAAUGAAAUAUAAUCAGGUAGUGUAUAAGCCUGCUAGAUACGCGUUUUUGUUCUCAGCAUUUCAAGUUUAGGUAAAUGAAUGACUACAAUGUUUCUUCGAAACUCUUCAGAAUGAUGUAACUAUAUGAUUUAGGAAAUAACUUAAGUGAUCAGCUAUGGUCACUUACGGGUGACAAACACCAAUGAGAAGUGGAUAAGUGUCAACAAUAAUCAUAAACAAACAUAUCAAAUACUCAAAACCCCCAUGUUAUGCCCUAAAAUUGUAACAAAGCCUUUUAAAAUGGAUACGUGUCACAUAUUUAUUGGUUGUGAUCACCUUAAGGUGACUAACCCUUGUUACCGAAGUCGGGUUCUAUGAUUUAUGAGCAAUUCAUGUGCCUUUUUCUUGAAAAUAACUUAGGUGACCAGCUAUGGUCACUUAUGGGUGAUAAACACCAAUGACAGAUGGACAAGUGUCAACAAUAAUCAUAAAUAAACAUGUCAAAUACCCAAAAUCUCUAUGUUAUGUUCUUAAAUUGCAGCCAAGNNNNNNNNNNNNNNNNNNNNACGCAGAUAUCUUUCUGUCUGCCUAAAUAAGCCCUAUAGACUAUAGGUAAAUCUUCUCCCCUUGUUCUAUAAACAAGGUUUGAAAUUUUGAUUUCAACGAAAAUUGUGGUAAUUUUCAGCAAAUAAUUUAGGGCAAAAGCUGUAAUACCUGUGUUGUACCGUACCACUGACGGAGUUCGUAACGGAAGGGCAGUAAUGUCAAUUACCGAUACUUGGUAAAAUUAGUUUUCACUGGGAUAGACAGCAAUGCAAGUGCAUAACACCUCUGUUACGGUUUUACAUUUCAAAAGUGAGGAAGAACUGACGAGUUUAGAUGAAUAUGUUGAAAACAUGCCUGAGACCCAGAAGGCCAUCUAUUACUUGGCCACAGACAGUCUGAAAAAUGCAAGAAGUGCUCCAUUCUUGGAAAGGUUGGUUCAAAAAGAUAUUGAGGUUUUGUAUUUUGUUGAACCUAUUGAUGAAGUGGCCAUCCAGAACCUACAAACCUACACAGAGAAGAAGUUUUUAAUUUGGACAUUAGCAAGGAAGAUUUAGAAUUUGGUGAUAAGGAUGAGGUCAAGGACAGGGGAACUAAACAAGAAUCUCUGCUCUGUGAUAGGAUAAAGCAAUAUAUGAUGAUAUUCUCACAGUAGUGGGUUGAUGAUGAUAAGGAACAGAAGGUCCUUAACUCCGUUUAAGUCGACACUCAUCUUUCAUCUUUGAUUGUGAUUUGCACACUCAACGAGACGGAAGUAAAUCACCUGUGCCUAAAAACCCAAUACCAAACCUGUGCCACUUACCAAAUUCUGACAUCUGUCUUUAACUUAAACAGAACUUAACCCUGUUAAUGUUGUUAUUUUCUACUAAAAAACAAAUAAAAAAAACUUAAUUAAGGAUUUCAAGAAUUUCGACUCUACCUCUUCCACUCUUCCUCUUCCAUGUUUAUUCCAACUCUUCUUCGUUCUUCUUUCUCUGCUUCUCUCUGAAAAAACAAAACCCAGUGUUGUUC
This 2473-nucleotide long non-coding RNA is filed under the name Fragaria vesca (wild strawberry). Its description in RNAcentral is "long non-coding RNA (FVES_LNC002990)". Lineage: Eukaryota; Viridiplantae; Streptophyta; Magnoliopsida; Rosales; Rosaceae. The record is from RNAcentral.